RNAcentral lists this ribosomal RNA (423 nucleotides) under uncultured bacterium. RNAcentral's name for it is "bacterial SSU rRNA". It matches the Rfam family "Bacterial small subunit ribosomal RNA", at positions 207 to 622 of the family's 1533-position model. The record is from RNAcentral.
AGGACCUUGCGCUUUUGGAGCGGCCGAUGCCUGAUUAGCUUGUUGGUAAGGUAAAAGCUUACCAAGGCUUCGAUCAGUAGCUGGUCUGAGAGGACGACCAGCCACACUGGGACUGAGACACGGCCCAGACUCCUACGGGAGGCAGCAGUGGGGAAUUUUGGACAAUGGGGGCAACCCUGAUCCAGCCAUGCCGCGUGAGUGAAGAAGGCCUUCGGGUUGUAAAGCUCUUUCAGCCGGAACGAAACGGUUACGGAUAACACCCGUGACUACUGACGGUACCGGAAGAAGAAGCACCGGCUAACUACGUGCCAGCAGCCGCGGUAAUACGUAGGGUGCGAGCGUUAAUCGGAAUUACUGGGCGUAAAGCGUGCGCAGGUGGUUUUGUAAGUCAGAUGUGAAAGCCCCGGGCUCAACCUGGGAACU